CCACAAUAUUCAUCAGAUAAUGAGGCAAAAACACUCCAAACUAUCCACAGAGGUCAAUUUUAUAUUAAUGUUAUUUUUUAAUGGUGCAAAGUUGGAGCUGAUUCAUGUGCAAGUGUGCAGGCUUAUUUUAAAUUAAAAAAAAACAAAACGUUUUUGUGAAUUUUUUUGAAACUGAAAAAAGUGUUUAGUACUCACCUAUCUGACCAUCUUCAUCAGUCUACUUUCACACAGGAUGUGUCUUCUCUCAUUCUUUCACGAUAGAGGCCCCCCCCGCCCCCGCCCCCAACUUUGACGUCAUCUCGCCCUCACUUAUUCUGAGGCGGUUGUUUUACAAUUCUGCUGCUUUUUAAUUAAUUAAUCAGUCAGAUUAAAGGUAAUGUUUGAGCUUUAUCUGACGGUUUAAGUGCAGACAGGAUUUAUCCACAUUUUGGACCAGAGGAGCAGCUACUUUAUUAUAACAGCUGACGGUGUAACAGCUGACACAUCGGGUGAUGUGUAGAGAAGAACACCAAAACAACGUAUACCGUCAGAUCCUGACCCGCCCAGGCAUCUGGUUUUAUGGUCCUGCAAACGUGUCCCGCCUGAGUAAAGUUGAAGUUCUCCAACAUCCUCACUAUGCAUCAGUGGAACCAAAGGUAAGAGUGGCCCACAGACCAGCUUUGUGCAUCCAGCUGACAGCAGAGCUUUUUGCAGGCUGAUGGGCCAGUGAGUGCACUGCCUCUGCUACACCAUAAAACUCACUUGACUCUUCACUCAUCCUUCGGAUCUGAGCCACUUUCCCCUCUUCAGUAAUAAACUACUUUCAGGACGGCACUCUUCUGGACAGAGAUCUUGGAUGUUGUUGCUUGGAUCUGCUGGAACCACCUGCCCAGUUUGGGAGACCCAUAGUGCUUCGAUUACCUCAGGGACUUCCUUCACCCUCCACAUCUUCUCUAACUACUCUCUUAGCCCUUGGUAUUUGUAAAGCUUCUUUUCUUCCUUCUUCCUGAUGUUGCUGUCACUUGACAUUGCGCCCCAUCACUGGGGCCUUCUUCCUCAGCUUAACUUUGCCAGUUUGUCUGUUUAUAUCUGGAAGUUACAAUGAAUCUUAGGCUGGUCAUUCUCAUCGACCCUAGGGGGGGUGUCCCAUUUUGACCUUAGGCCAUAGUCAUCACAGAUGUUCCUGCAUACUAUGCCACUUGGUUAUGGUGUUCCAUGUAUGCGCUGCCCGCUAGCAUCUUACUGUAAGAUUACAGUUUUCAGUGAUAGUCUGACAGUUUCCUUCGCAGUUUGUAACACGUUUGCAAUACGUUACUAUACUAAAUUGUCUAAUUACAUUACAGGUACAAAUAUGUUGUUACUUGCGUUAUAAAGGUUCUUAAGUUAUCUUAACAGCUGCUGGAUAGAAAGAAAAAAUAACAUUAAGUGAACACGUUUUUUCUUCCUGCGCACUUCACUGUCAAUCUGCUCAUUUUAAUUCAUGUGUAGGAGAAAGAAAAUGCUGGAACAGUGCAGCAACACAGCUUUUCAGGAAAGGAGAUAUAGACUUUGCACACUCAUUUACAUUUAAGGAAAGUAAUGUGUUUAUAUAUAUAUAUAGAAACAGAGGUGUUAGAGUUUAAUCUAAAAAUGGGAUGAAAUUUCAAGGCAGAUCAAAACCCAAGUGGUAGAAUGUAACUGAGUAUGUUUAUCCAAGUACUUUCCUUAUGUAUUUGAAGUACUUGUGUCUUUCUUUUCAUGUCACUUUCUGCUUCUGUACUCUGCUCGAUCUUAGAGUGAAAUAUUGUCAUUUUGACUUCACUAGAUUUACCUAAAAAGCUUUAGUUAAUUUAGAUUUGCACACAAACCACAUAAAGAAACAAGAUGUUAAAGGAUUAGUUGACAGAAAAUUAGCAACUAUUUUAUUUAAAGUACAUGUGGGAGCAUUUCUCUUUUCAGAAUUUAGAAUAGUACAUGUUACUGUUUUUAGUGAGCAAUUCCAAGUAAAGUAAAGUAGGUCAAAGCAGUGAUUUUAGUUUGUUACCUGGUUGUUGGUACCAAACUAUAAUUCUAAGACUUCAUGCUCAGUGCAGUCUUUUUGCCACUAGAGGGCAAACUUUGUUUAAAAGUUAAUGGGUAAAUGACGUGUUCAAUAUAAAAGAGAGGAGUGUCUGCAAUGACAAGGAUCUCA
This is a long non-coding RNA of Oreochromis niloticus (Nile tilapia), 2149 nucleotides long. RefSeq lists it as uncharacterized. Lineage: Eukaryota; Metazoa; Chordata; Actinopteri; Cichliformes; Cichlidae. The transcript has 4 exons. The record is from RefSeq and is a predicted model, not a curated record.